This 1364-nucleotide ribosomal RNA is filed under the name Salmonella enterica subsp. enterica serovar Newport. RNAcentral describes it as "partial 23S ribosomal RNA". It matches the Rfam family "Bacterial large subunit ribosomal RNA", at positions 1589 to 2925 of the family's 2925-position model. Lineage: Bacteria; Pseudomonadati; Pseudomonadota; Gammaproteobacteria; Enterobacterales; Enterobacteriaceae. The record is from RNAcentral.
AGCAACAAAUGCCCUGCUUCCAGGAAAAGCCUCUAAGCAUCAGGUAACAUCAAAUCGUACCCCAAACCGACACAGGUGGUCAGGUAGAGAAUACCAAGGCGCUUGAGAGAACUCGGGUGAAGGAACUAGGCAAAAUGGUGCCGUAACUUCGGGAGAAGGCACGCUGACACGUAGGUGAAGUGAUUUACUCAUGGAGCUGAAGUCAGUCGAAGAUACCAGCUGGCUGCAACUGUUUAUUAAAAACACAGCACUGUGCAAACACGAAAGUGGACGUAUACGGUGUGACGCCUGCCCGGUGCCGGAAGGUUAAUUGAUGGGGUCAGCGCAAGCGAAGCUCCUGAUCGAAGCCCCGGUAAACGGCGGCCGUAACUAUAACGGUCCUAAGGUAGCGAAAUUCCUUGUCGGGUAAGUUCCGACCUGCACGAAUGGCGUAAUGAUGGCCAGGCUGUCUCCACCCGAGACUCAGUGAAAUUGAACUCGCUGUGAAGAUGCAGUGUACCCGCGGCAAGACGGAAAGACCCCGUGAACCUUUACUAUAGCUUGACACUGAACAUUGAGCCUUGAUGUGUAGGAUAGGUGGGAGGCUUUGAAGCGUGGACGCCAGUCUGCGUGGAGCCGACCUUGAAAUACCACCCUUUAAUGUUUGAUGUUCUAACGUGGACCCGUGAUCCGGGUUGCGGACAGUGUCUGGUGGGUAGUUUGACUGGGGCGGUCUCCUCCUAAAGAGUAACGGAGGAGCACGAAGGUUGGCUAAUCCUGGUCGGACAUCAGGAGGUUAGUGCAAUGGCAUAAGCCAGCUUGACUGCGAGCGUGACGGCGCGAGCAGGUGCGAAAGCAGGUCAUAGUGAUCCGGUGGUUCUGAAUGGAAGGGCCAUCGCUCAACGGAUAAAAGGUACUCCGGGGAUAACAGGCUGAUACCGCCCAAGAGUUCAUAUCGACGGCGGUGUUUGGCACCUCGAUGUCGGCUCAUCACAUCCUGGGGCUGAAGUAGGUCCCAAGGGUAUGGCUGUUCGCCAUUUAAAGUGGUACGCGAGCUGGGUUUAGAACGUCGUGAGACAGUUCGGUCCCUAUCUGCCGUGGGCGCUGGAGAACUGAGGGGGGCUGCUCCUAGUACGAGAGGACCGGAGUGGACGCAUCACUGGUGUUCGGGUUGUCAUGCCAAUGGCACUGCCCGGUAGCUAAAUGCGGAAGAGAUAAGUGCUGAAAGCAUCUAAGCACGAAACUUGCCCCGAGAUGAGUUCUCCCUGAGACUUAAAGUCUCCUGAAGGAACGUUGAAGACGACGACGUUGAUAGGCCGGGUGUGUAAGCGCAGCGAUGCGUUGAGCUAACCGGUACUAAUGAACCGUGAGGCUUAACCUUACAA